GUAGGUGGCAAGCGUUGUCCGGAAUUAUUGGGCGUAAAGCGCGCGCAGGUGGUUCUUUAAGUCUGAUGUGAAAGCCCCCGGCUCGACCGGGGAGGGUCAUUGGAAACUGGGGAACUUGAGUGCAGGAGAGGAAAGUGGAAUUCCACGUGUAGCGGUGAAAUGCGUAGAUAUGUGGAGGAACACCAGUGGCGAAGGCGACUUUCUGGCCUGUAACUGACACUGAGGCGCGAAAGCGUGGGGAGCAAACAGGGAUUAGAUACCCUGGUAGUCCACGCCGUAAACGAUGAGUGCUAAGUGUUGGGGGGGUUUCCCGCCCCUCAGUGCUGCAGCUAACGCAUUAAGCACUCCGCCUGGGGAUACGGUCGCAAGACUG
RNAcentral lists this ribosomal RNA (373 nucleotides) under uncultured organism. RNAcentral's name for it is "partial 16S ribosomal RNA". It matches the Rfam family "Bacterial small subunit ribosomal RNA", at positions 527 to 896 of the family's 1533-position model. The record is from RNAcentral.